CUUCACCGACCCCAGCCACAACGGGUCGCCCUCGGACCGGUCCUGACCGUACGUCGCCAGCAGCGCCUGCGCCUC
The sequence is an antisense RNA, 75 nucleotides long. It matches the Rfam family "ASpks TB sRNA".